CCUACGGGAGGCAGCAGUAGGGAAUCUUGCACAAUGGGGGAAACCCUGAUGCAGCGAUGCCGCGUGAGUGAAGAAGGCCUUUGGGUUGUAUAGCUCUUUCGUCGGGGAAGAAAAUGACUGUACCCGAAUAAGAAGGUCCGGCUAACUUCGUGCCAGCAGCCGCGGUAAUACGAAGGGACCUAGCGUAGUUCGGAAUUACUGGGCUUAAAGAGUUCGUAGGUGGUUAAAAAAGUUGGUGGUGAAAUCCCAGAGCUUAACUCUGGAACUGCCAUCAAAACUUUUUAGCUAGAGUAUGAUAGAGGAAAGCAGAAUUUCUAGUGUAGAGGUGAAAUUCGUAGAUAUUAGAAAGAAUACCAAUUGCGAAGGCAGCUUUCUGGAUCAUUACUGACACUGAGGAACGAAAGCAUGGGUAGCGAAGAGGAUUAGAUACCCUCGUAGUCCAUGCCGUAAACGAUGUGUGUUAGACGUUGGAAAUUUAUUUUCUGUGUCGCAGCGAAAGCAAUAAACACACCGCCUGGGGAGUACGACCGCAAGGUUAAAACUCAAAUGAAUUGACGGA
This 559-nucleotide ribosomal RNA is filed under the name uncultured bacterium. RNAcentral describes it as "bacterial SSU rRNA". It matches the Rfam family "Bacterial small subunit ribosomal RNA", at positions 338 to 917 of the family's 1533-position model. The record is from RNAcentral.